AUUGCUUCUCAAUCCAUUUGGGGCUAAGAUCAAGUGAAGUAUUUGUUCUUAUCAGUGUAAUAUCUGAUAAGUCCUCUACCGGAGGACAAUGUAUUAAACAGAUUUUUGGAGCAAGGAAGUAGAAUAAGAGCGUGCUCAGUGCAUUCCUCACGUCGACCCUGUAUUGCAGUACUUCCAGGACACACAUACACACA
This is a small nuclear RNA of Molossus molossus (Pallas's mastiff bat), 194 nucleotides long. RefSeq annotates it as U2 spliceosomal RNA. The record is from RefSeq and is a predicted model, not a curated record. NCBI's taxonomy places the organism in Eukaryota, Metazoa, Chordata, Mammalia, Chiroptera, Molossidae. The transcript has a single exon.